This 497-nucleotide ribosomal RNA is filed under the name uncultured bacterium. RNAcentral's name for it is "partial 16S ribosomal RNA". It matches the Rfam family "Bacterial small subunit ribosomal RNA", at positions 28 to 507 of the family's 1533-position model. The record is from RNAcentral.
GAUGAACGCUGGCGGCGUGCCUAAUACAUGCAAGUCGAGCGAACAGACGAUGAGCUUGCGCCUCUCACGUUAGCGGCGGGCGGGUGAGUAACGCGUGGAUAACCUACCUAUAUGUCGGGGAUAAUUUCGGGACACCGGAUCUUAUCCCAUAUAACAUGUUGAACCGCAUGGUUCAACAGAGAGAUACGGUGUUUGUGGCUGUUAUAGCUGGAUCCGGGCCGUAUGAGCUAGUUGUGACGGUAACCGCCUAUCAGGGGGACGAUGCGUAGCCGACCGAACAGGCGGGUAGCCGACAUGGGAAGGGAAACGGGGACAAGACGCCUACGAGAGGCAGCAGACGGGAACCGUCGGCAAUGGGGGAAAGCCUGACAGAGCAAGGCCGCGUGAGUGACGAAGGUCUUCGGAUCGUAAAGCCCUGUUAUUAGGGAAGAACAAAUGUGGAAGUAAACAUGGCCGUAGUGACGGUACCGAAUAAGAAAGCACCGGCUAACUACGUG